RNAcentral lists this ribosomal RNA (292 nucleotides) under uncultured bacterium. RNAcentral describes it as "partial 16S ribosomal RNA". It matches the Rfam family "Bacterial small subunit ribosomal RNA", at positions 505 to 796 of the family's 1533-position model. The record is from RNAcentral.
GUGUCAGCAGCCGCGGUAAUACGAAGGGUGCAAGCGUUAUUCGGAUUGAUUGGGCGUAAAGGGUGCGCAGGCGGUGCGCUAAGUCAACUGUUAAAUUUCCCAGCCUAACUGGGAGCAAGCGGUAGAUACUGGCGUGCUUGAGGAUGGAAGAGAGAAGUGGAAUUCUCGGAGUAGCGGUAAAAUGCGUAGAUCUCGAGAGGAACACCGAUGGCGAAGGCAGCUUCUUGGUCCAUUCCUGACGCUCAUGCACGAAAGCGUGGGGAGCAAACAGGAUUAGAUACCCGAGUAGUCC